GACGUAGGGCGCGAGCGUUGUCCGGAAUUAUUGGGCGUAAAGAGCUCGUAGGCGGUUUGUUGCGUCGGCUGUGAAAUCCCGAGGCUCAACCUCGGGUCUGCAGUCGAUACGAGCAAACUAGAGUGUUGCAGGGGAGACUGGAAUUCCUGGUGUAGCGGUGAAAUGCGCAGAUAUCAGGAGGAACACCGGUGGCGAAGGCGGGUCUCUGGGCAGUAACUGACGCUGAGGAGCGAAAGCGUGGGGAGCGAACAGG
RNAcentral lists this ribosomal RNA (253 nucleotides) under uncultured bacterium. RNAcentral's name for it is "partial 16S ribosomal RNA". It matches the Rfam family "Bacterial small subunit ribosomal RNA", at positions 524 to 776 of the family's 1533-position model. The record is from RNAcentral.